AUUUGGAAAUUGGAGAUAAAGUACACAUGAAACGAACUGUAACCCGGAAACAAGUUGAGUUGUACUUUUAACAGCGAAGUACUCACGGUUACAGCAAAACACGGCCCAAGAACAACGGUUCAAAAUGAUGAAACGGGAAAGGUGUACGAGAGGAAUUCAAGUCAUCUUAAAAAGAUAAGAAGUGAAAAUGAUAACCAAAAUGAUCUUGAUGUAGCCGAUGAAGGACAGGAGUUCGAUGGACUUCAUGAGGAGCACCAAGAAGAUCCUUUAAUCAGUAAUGAUCGUCCCGAGCAAACGUCAACAAAGCAGGACGAAUCAGCUUCGAGGCAAGGUCGAGUUCCUCGUGUGACCAGAGUUCCGAACCGAUUUACUGAUUACAUUAUUGACUGUUAACUAUUUUCAUUUAUAUAAUAAGGGAGAUGUGGAGAUACGUCUGACUCGAUUAUCUAUGGUAUGACAACUUGAAUUAACAGAUGUGCCAUUGUCCAUAGAGAAUAAUAAACAUUCUGAUUUCUGCUGAG
This is a long non-coding RNA of Aedes albopictus (Asian tiger mosquito), 521 nucleotides long. RefSeq lists it as uncharacterized. Lineage: Eukaryota; Metazoa; Arthropoda; Insecta; Diptera; Culicidae. The record is from RefSeq and is a predicted model, not a curated record. The transcript has 2 exons.